Molecule: long non-coding RNA, 1465 nt
Organism: Bombus impatiens (common eastern bumble bee)
Lineage: Eukaryota; Metazoa; Arthropoda; Insecta; Hymenoptera; Apidae
Exons: 2
Source: RefSeq, a predicted model, not a curated record
AAUUAAUAUAACUGCUUUUAAAUGAAAUAUCAUUAGCCAUAAGGCAUAAUCUGUUUGAUCGUGCAGGAUCUCAAAACAGGACGCAAUAUACCAAGACAUCUAUCUCAUCACCUCUCGAUGAUUUAAUUUAUUACGCCACUCAACGCAACAUCCAAACGAUUUACUAGCCAAGAUUCGCUAUUAAUUCCCCCGUAUCCAAUCUUCCGAGCCGUGUGACAGUUGUUUAUCAAUUAAAACUCGUUCGCUCGUGAAAAUACGAUGCUGUGACACGGCUACUUACACGAGCCACCGCUAUCGAAGUUAUCCCGAAAUUUCAAUCUCCAACGACGCCGUUCGAUCGACGCAAUUAAUGCGACUGCCUUUAAUUAUCUUUCUCGUCUCCUUCAAAGGAGAAGAGGAACCACGCUCGGAACAAGGAAGGAAAAUAUCAAAGGAACACUGAAAGAAACACGAAGAUAAAUGGAAAGAGAGAGACCAAUCUUGGCACAGGCGUGUAAAUAAAGAGGUUUAUUUAUACGCGUGCAAUUAACCAGUGAGCAGAUCGGCAGUCGCAGAUGCAACUCUGCUCGAAGUGCAUCAAGUAGCUACUUAUCCACAGCGGUAACUGCGCUGGUGAUAGCGUUAAUAGCGGUGCGUGUGCGCUCGACUAAAGGUCGUUAAUGCGACGUUAUCCAGGAAAUAGGGCGUCCGUUUUAUCGGUCCCGUCGUUUCGUCGCAUUUUUCGGUGGCCACGCUGUUAUCGUCUGGUCGAUAAAACGUUGUCCGUGAUGGAACAUCGAGAAAUAAUGUCGUCGUUGCUCAGUCGAUCGGUUUUGCGGCGAAUAUUUAAAAGAGGAAGCGUGUUUCGCCAUAUCGGGCCACUUUUAGUCGAUAGAUAAGUAACUCGAUUUUUAGAUCAUCGAAGAAUACGUGUUGACGUAUUGCUGGGAAAAUGUUGAUGAUAGAAAGAGAUGGGAUGACAGGGUUGGUGAAAAUACCAGAGAUUUGAUAGUUUAUUGCAAUGGUAUCGUCUCAUCGGUUUAUUUUAGGAGGAUGUUUGAAGGGGAAUGUCGAACCGGUGAUUUUAUGAGGAUAUUUUUGAUUUGUGCAGGAGUGGAUUGAUAAGAUCGAUGUAAAGUAGCAGAAGUAACAUUCCUAAGAGACAUUCCUAAAUGAAGAUAUUGUCGUGGUAAACAUUAGAUCGUGGAUAUUUAGCUAAUGCACGUUCCGUGGGUACCAGAGUGAAAAAAAUACGCGAUCGCAAGGUAGCGGAAGGAAGCAACCUAUUUUUGUGGCUGGAGAGCCCGUACGAUGGGACUCAGCGUGGGGUUCGUUUCUUUUUGGUCGGUGAUACUAGAUGCCCCGUCUAGGGGAGGUCUUUGACGAAGACGAAGGCGAACACGACGAUGGGUAAAGGAAGAUCGAGAAGAUGAAUAAGAGAAAAGAAGGAAAAAGGAUGGAUCGAGCGACGAAAUAAAGAGAAGGA